GAUGAACGCUGGCGGCGUGCCUAAUACAUGCAAGUCGAGCGAACGGACGAGAAGCUUGCUUCUCUGAUGUUAGCGGCGGACGGGUGAGUAACACGUGGAUAACCUACCUAUAAGACUGGGAUAACUUCGGGAAACCGGAGCUAAUACCGGAUAAUAUUUUGAACCGCAUGGUUCAAAAGUGAAAGACGGUCUUGCUGCCACUUAUAGAUGGAUCCGCGCUGCAUUAGCUAGUUGGUAGGGUAACGGCUUACCAAGGCAACGAUGCAUAGCCGACCUGAGAGGGUGAUCGGCCACACUGGAACUGAGACACGGUCCAGACUCCUACGGGAGGCAGCAGUAGGGAAUCUUCCGCAAUGGGCGAAAGCCUGACGGAGCAACGCCGCGUGAGUGAUGAAGGUCUUCGGAUCGUAAAACUCUGUUAUUAGGGAAGAACAUAUGUGUAAGUAACUGUGCACAUCUUGACGGUACCUAAUCAGAAAGCCACGGCUAACUACGUG
This 497-nucleotide ribosomal RNA is filed under the name uncultured bacterium. RNAcentral describes it as "partial 16S ribosomal RNA". It matches the Rfam family "Bacterial small subunit ribosomal RNA", at positions 28 to 507 of the family's 1533-position model. The record is from RNAcentral.